Molecule: non-coding RNA, 117 nt
Filed under: Anaerosphaera aminiphila
Lineage: Bacteria; Bacillati; Bacillota; Tissierellia; Tissierellales; Peptoniphilaceae
Also listed under: 1 other name
Description: FMN sequence
Rfam family: FMN riboswitch aptamer (RFN element)
About the family: The RFN element is a highly conserved domain that is found frequently in the 5'-untranslated regions of prokaryotic mRNAs that encode for flavin mononucleotide (FMN) biosynthesis and transport proteins. This element is a metabolite-dependent riboswitch that directly binds FMN in the absence of proteins. In Bacillus subtilis, the riboswitch most likely controls gene expression by causing premature transcription termination within the 5' untranslated region of the ribDEAHT operon and precluding access to the ribosome-binding site of ypaA mRNA.
Source: RNAcentral
AAAUAUCUUCAGGGCGAGGUGAAAAUCCUUGACCGGCGGUAAAGUCCGCGAGUUCGAAAGAACCGAAUUGGUUAGAUUCCAAUACCGACAGUAUAGUCUGGAUGAAAGAAGAUUGCA